This 477-nucleotide ribosomal RNA is filed under the name uncultured archaeon. Its description in RNAcentral is "bacterial SSU rRNA". It matches the Rfam family "Archaeal small subunit ribosomal RNA", at positions 967 to 1448 of the family's 1478-position model. The record is from RNAcentral.
UUUGCCCGAUUUCCGAGAAGUGGUGCAUGGCCGCCGUCAGCUNGUACCGUAAGGNGUUNUGUUAAGUCAGACANCGAACGAGACCCUCAUCUUUAAUUGNUACUGUUAAGUCCGNUUAAUAGGCNCAUNAGAGAAACCGCNGGCGAUAAGUCAGAGGAAGGCGAGGGCAACGGUAGGUCAGUAUGCCCUGAAUCCUCCGGGCUACACGCGCGCUACAAAGGCUAGGACAAUGAGCUUCGACACUGAGAGGUGAAGGUAAUCUCGAAACCUAGUCAUAGUUCGGAUUGAGGGUUGAAACUCACCCUCAUGAAGCUGGAAUCUGUAGUAAUCGCGGAUCAACAUCCCGCGGUGAAUAUGCCCCUGCUCCUUGCACACACCGCCCGUCAAACCAUGCGAGUUGGGUUUGAGUGAGGAUGUAGUUUUUGCUAUGUUCAAACUUAGGCUUAGUAAGCGGGGUUAAGUCGUAACAAGGUAGCC